CAGCAGCCGCGGUAAUACGUAGGUGGCAAGCGUUGUCCGGAAUUAUUGGGCGUAAAGGGCUCGCAGGCGGUUUCUUAAGUCUGAUGUGAAAGCCCCCGGCUCAACCGGGGAGGGUCAUUGGGAACUGGGAAACUUGAGUGCAGAAGAGGAGAGUGGAAUUCCACGUGUAGCGGUGUAAUGCGUAGAGAUGCGGAGGAACACCAGUGGCGAAGGCGACUCUCUGGUCUGUAACUGACGCUGAGGAGCGAAAGCGUGGGGAGCGGACAGGAUUAGAUACCCCCGUAGUCCCUGUCUCUUAUAC
This 301-nucleotide ribosomal RNA is filed under the name uncultured bacterium. RNAcentral's name for it is "partial 16S ribosomal RNA". It matches the Rfam family "Bacterial small subunit ribosomal RNA", at positions 509 to 807 of the family's 1533-position model. The record is from RNAcentral.